Molecule: non-coding RNA, 237 nt
Filed under: Clostridium perfringens
Lineage: Bacteria; Bacillati; Bacillota; Clostridia; Eubacteriales; Clostridiaceae
Description: T-box sequence
Rfam family: T-box leader
About the family: Uncharged tRNA acts as the effector for transcription antitermination of genes in the T-box leader family. T-boxes are found upstream of many aminoacyl-tRNA synthetase genes and some amino acid biosynthetic genes usually in Gram-positive bacteria.
Source: RNAcentral
UUAAAUGCGUUGAAGAGGGAAAGUAAAUAUUAUAAGUUACUACAGAGAGAGGUUAGUUUGCUGAGAUAACCUGUAAUGAGUAUUAUUGAAGUGCCCCUUGGAGCUUAAGUGCCGAAUUAAGUAGGUGUUUAUGGGAACUCCCAUUAUAGAGUUAGGGUAUGAAUGUACCUAAAUAGAGAUGGAUAUUAUAUAUCUAAUCAGAGUGGAACCGUGGAAGUAUAGUCUUCUGCCUCUGUA